GGGGUUGUGGAUCAGUGGUAGAGCGCUUGCCUGCCAGGUGUGAGGCACUGAGUUCGAUUCUCAGCACCACA
RNAcentral lists this transfer RNA (71 nucleotides) under Marmota monax (woodchuck). Its description in RNAcentral is "tRNA.Gly". It matches the Rfam family "tRNA". Rfam says of the family: Transfer RNA (tRNA) molecules are approximately 80 nucleotides in length. Their secondary structure includes four short double-helical elements and three loops (D, anti-codon, and T loops). Further hydrogen bonds mediate the characteristic L-shaped molecular structure. tRNAs have two regions of fundamental functional importance: the anti-codon, which is responsible for specific mRNA codon recognition, and the 3' end, to which the tRNAs corresponding amino acid is attached (by aminoacyl-tRNA synthetases). tRNAs cope with the degeneracy of the genetic code in two manners: having more than one tRNA (with a specific anti-codon) for a particular amino acid; and 'wobble' base-pairing, i.e. permitting non-standard base-pairing at the 3rd anti-codon position. Lineage: Eukaryota; Metazoa; Chordata; Mammalia; Rodentia; Sciuridae. The record is from RNAcentral.